RNAcentral lists this ribosomal RNA (383 nucleotides) under uncultured bacterium. RNAcentral's name for it is "bacterial SSU rRNA". It matches the Rfam family "Bacterial small subunit ribosomal RNA", at positions 168 to 523 of the family's 1533-position model. The record is from RNAcentral.
ACCGGAUAUGACCACGGGGAGUUUUCGGCUUCUGCGGUGAAAGAUGGCCUCUGCUUUGCAAGCUAUCACUCGAGGAUGGGCCUGCGCACCAUUAGCUAGUUGGUGAGGUAACGGCUCACCAAGGCUACGAUGGUUAGUUGGUCUGAGAGGAUGACCAGCCACACUGGGACUGAGACACGGCCCAGACUCCUACGGGAGGCAGCAGUGGGGAAUAUUGCGCAAUGGGGGGAAACCCUGACGCAGCGACGCCGCGUGGGUGAUGAAGGCCUUCGGGUCGUAAAGCCCUGUCGGAGGGGAAGAAGGAUUGCGGUGCAAAUAGUGCCGUGGUCUGACGGUACCCUUAAAGGAAGCACCGGCUAACUCCGUGCCAGCAGCCGCGGUAA